AUAAAAUAAGCUUUUAUAGCAUUUCACUUACACUGAAAUUAAUCUAUA
RNAcentral lists this transfer RNA (48 nucleotides) under Cheliceroides longipalpis. RNAcentral's name for it is "tRNA-Val". Lineage: Eukaryota; Metazoa; Arthropoda; Arachnida; Araneae; Salticidae. The record is from RNAcentral.